RNAcentral lists this ribosomal RNA (464 nucleotides) under uncultured bacterium. RNAcentral's name for it is "bacterial SSU rRNA". It matches the Rfam family "Bacterial small subunit ribosomal RNA", at positions 28 to 507 of the family's 1533-position model. The record is from RNAcentral.
GACGAACGCUGGCGGCGCGCCUAACACAUGCAAGUCGAACGAGAGAUGAGGAGCUUGCUCUUCAAAUCGAGUGGCGAACGGGUGAGUAACGCGUGAGGAACCUGCCUCAAAGAGGGGGACAACAGUUGGAAACGACUGCUAAUACCGCAUAAGCGCACAGUACCGCAUGGUACAGAGCGAAAAACUCCGGUGGUAUAGGAUGGACCCGCGUCUGAUUAGUUAGUUGGCGGUGUAACGGACCACCAAGACGACGAUCAGUAGCCGGCUUGAGAGAGUGAACGGCCACAUUGGGACUGAGACACGGCCCAAACUCCUACGGGAGGCAGCAGUGGGGAAUAUUGCACAAUGGGGGAAACCCUGAUGCAGCAACGCCGCGUGAGUGAAGAAGUAUUUCGGUAUGUAAAGCUCUAUCAGCAGGGAAGAAAAUGACGGUACCUGACUAAGAAGCCCCGGCUAACUACGUG